Molecule: ribosomal RNA, 496 nt
Filed under: uncultured bacterium
Lineage: Bacteria
Description: partial 16S ribosomal RNA
Rfam family: Bacterial small subunit ribosomal RNA
Source: RNAcentral
GAUGAACGCUGGCGGCGUGCCUAAUACAUGCAAGUCGAGCGAACAGACGAGGAGCUUGCUCCUCUGACGUUAGCGGCGGACGGGUGAGUAACACGUGGAUAACCUACCUAUAAGACUGGGAUAACUUCGGGAAACCGGAGCUAAUACCGGAUAAUAUAUUGAACCGCAUGGUUCAAUAGUGAAAGACGGUUUUGCUGUCACUUAUAGAUGGAUCCGCGCCGCAUUAGCUAGUUGGUAAGGUAACGGCUUACCAAGGCGACGAUGCGUAGCCGACCUGAGAGGGGGAUCGGCCACACUGGAACUGAGACACGGUCCAGACUCCUACGGGAGGCAGCAGGAGGGAAUCUUCCGCAAUGGGCGAAAGCCUGACGGAGCAACGCCGCGUGAGUGAUGAAGGUCUUCGGAUCGUAAAACUCUGUUAUUAGGGAAGAACAAAUGUGUAAGUAACUAUGCACGUCUUGACGGUACCUAAUCAGAAAGCCACGGCUAACUACGU